CCAACAACGAUGAUGAGGAAGAGUAAAUGGGUGGAUUAGUAUAGAGAGGAAACGGGUGCUGGAAGUUUCUCUAAUUGCCGAUUGAACGUAGCCUUUGAGUUGCUUUUUUGAACUAAUAGUAGAAAAAGCCGGUGCGAGCCGUUACAGAAAUGAAGUGCUAAACGUUAAUCGUUUGGUAUAAAGGUGGUACCGCGGAAUGCUCUUUUCGUCCUUUCU
RNAcentral lists this non-coding RNA (216 nucleotides) under Brochothrix thermosphacta. RNAcentral describes it as "T-box sequence". It matches the Rfam family "T-box leader". Rfam says of the family: Uncharged tRNA acts as the effector for transcription antitermination of genes in the T-box leader family. T-boxes are found upstream of many aminoacyl-tRNA synthetase genes and some amino acid biosynthetic genes usually in Gram-positive bacteria. The anticodon of a specific tRNA base pairs to a specifier sequence within the T-box motif, and the NCCA acceptor tail of the tRNA base pairs to a conserved bulge in the T-box antiterminator hairpin. Lineage: Bacteria; Bacillati; Bacillota; Bacilli; Caryophanales; Listeriaceae. The record is from RNAcentral.